This 199-nucleotide ribosomal RNA is filed under the name uncultured bacterium. RNAcentral's name for it is "partial 16S ribosomal RNA". It matches the Rfam family "Bacterial small subunit ribosomal RNA", at positions 335 to 526 of the family's 1533-position model. The record is from RNAcentral.
ACUCCUACGGGAGGCAGCGGUGGGGAAUAUUGGACAAUGGGGGCAACCCUGAUCCAGCAAUGCCGCGUGUGUGAAGAAGGCCUGAGGGUUGUAAAGCACUUUCAGUGGGGAGGAGGUUGAUUUGGUUAAGAGCUGAGUUAAUGGACGUUACCCACAGAAGAAGCACCGGCUAACUCCGUGCCAGCAGCCGCGGUAAUAC